GGACUACAGGGGUAUCUAAUCCCGUUUGCUCCCCUGGCUUUCGCGCAUCAGCGUCAGAAAGGAUCCAGCACACCGCUUUCGCCACCGGAGUUCCUAUGGAUAUCAACGCAUUUCACCGCUCCACCCACAGUUCCGUGUGCCCCUAUCCUCCUCGAGACCAUCAGUAUCCGAGGCCGUUCUCCAGUUGAGCUGGAGGAUUUCACCCCGGACUUGAUAGCCCGCCUACGCGCCCUUUAAGCCCAGUGAUUCCGAACAACGUUCGCACGGUUCGUCUUACCGCGGCUGCUGGCAC
Molecule: ribosomal RNA, 292 nt
Filed under: uncultured Planctomycetota bacterium
Lineage: Bacteria; Pseudomonadati; Planctomycetota
Description: uncultured planctomycete partial 16S ribosomal RNA
Source: RNAcentral